This 497-nucleotide ribosomal RNA is filed under the name uncultured bacterium. RNAcentral describes it as "partial 16S ribosomal RNA". It matches the Rfam family "Bacterial small subunit ribosomal RNA", at positions 28 to 507 of the family's 1533-position model. The record is from RNAcentral.
GAUGAACGCUGGCGGCGUGCCUAAUACAUGCCAGUCGAGCGAACAGACGAGGAGCUUGCUCCUCUGACGUUAGCGGCGGACGGGUGAGUAACACGUGGAUAACCUACCUAUAAGACUGGGAUAACUUCGGGAAACCGGAGCUAAUACCGGAUAAUAUAUUGAACCGCAUGGUUCAAUAGUGAAAGACGGUUUUGCUGUCACUUAUAGAUGGAUCCGCGCCGCAUUAGCUAGUUGGUAAGGUAACGGCUUACCAAGGCAACGAUGCGUAGCCGACCUGAGAGGGGGAUUCGCCACACUGGAACUGAGACACGGUCCAGACUCCUACGGGAGGCAGCAGUAGGGAAUCUUCCGCAAUGGGCGAAAGCCUGACGGAGCAACGCCGCGUGAGUGAUGAAGGUCUUCGGAUCGUAAAACUCUGUUAUUAGGGAAGAACAAAUGUGUAAGUAACUAUGCACGUCUUGACGGUACCUAAUCAGAAAGCCACGGCUAACUACGUG